Molecule: non-coding RNA, 240 nt
Filed under: Wenzhouxiangella marina
Lineage: Bacteria; Pseudomonadati; Pseudomonadota; Gammaproteobacteria; Chromatiales; Wenzhouxiangellaceae
Source: RNAcentral
UGACCUGAACUCGCGACAGGUGCCCGUGCAGUCGACGCUGACCGGGUGAAACGGGAAGCCGGUGUCAAUCCGGCGCUGCCCCCGCAACUGUGACCGAGUCGGACGGCCUGAGCGCCGCCCGACGUUCGCCCAAGCCACUCGGCCCGAGCCGGGGAAGGCGCGAACUCGAUCCCUCAUCGAAUCUCGAUGACCCCGGAGUCGAUCGGAAGCCAGGAGACCGGCCUGCCGCACCAAGCCAAC